AGGCAUCGCCUGAUAGGCCGGGAGUGAUUCCCUUUCCUCUCCGGCUUGCAUUCAGAUGCCAGAGUGACUCUCCUCCCUGCGCUUUCUGUCUGCCCUGAUUCCCGUAGCAGCUCAGAUUGAAUAAGGGAGAACAUUU
Molecule: small nucleolar RNA, 136 nt
Filed under: Notechis scutatus (mainland tiger snake)
Lineage: Eukaryota; Metazoa; Chordata; Lepidosauria; Squamata; Elapidae
Description: Small nucleolar RNA SNORA31 (ENSNSUG00000004069.1)
Rfam family: Small nucleolar RNA SNORA31
About the family: ACA31 (SNORA31) belongs to the H/ACA class of snoRNAs which are thought to guide the sites of modification of uridines to pseudouridines.
Source: Rfam by way of RNAcentral